AAUCAACGCUGGCGGCGUGCCUCAGACAUGCAAGUCGAACGAUUAAGACUCUCUUCGGAGAGUGCAUAAAGUGGCGCACGGGUGAGUAACACGUAAGUAAUCUACCUUUGGGUGGGGAAUAACAGUCGGAAACGACUGCUAAUACCGCAUAAUGCAGCGGCUCCUUAUGGAGACAGUUGUUAAAGAUUUAUCGCCUAAAGAGGAGCUUGCGGCAGAUUAGCAGUUGGUAAGGUAACGGCUUACCAAGGCGACGAUCUGUAUCCGACCUGAGAGGGUGGUCGGACACACUGACACUGAAUAACGGGUCAGACUCCUACGGGAGGCAGCAGUCGGGAAUUUUGGGCAAUGGGCGAAAGCCUGACCCAGCAACGCCGCGUGAAGGAUGAAGUCUUUCGGG
RNAcentral lists this ribosomal RNA (397 nucleotides) under uncultured bacterium. RNAcentral describes it as "bacterial SSU rRNA". It matches the Rfam family "Bacterial small subunit ribosomal RNA", at positions 32 to 422 of the family's 1533-position model. The record is from RNAcentral.